CAGGCAUGCUAUCAGAGAGCUCCUUCUGCUUGGGCUGCUCUUUGGGAUGUAUAAACCCACUUGUGUAACUCUCCAGAGGACUAAAACCAGCUUGAUUGAAUGCUACGUAUGGCUUGGCAGUGUAGAUGCAGCAUUACCAAGACACUGAGCAGAGUUGUAUCAGAGUCACCUCUUUCACCUGCAAAGGGCGCUUUGUGCGGUCGUGGACAGGAAAGGGAAAUCCUCGUGUCGCGGAGCAGUGAGGGAAGGUGAGUGUUGUCAGCCUGGUCAUCCCUUAUCUGAAGCGAAGGGAAGACACUCAGGUGUUUCCCUCAGAGGGUCCGAGGUGAGUCUGUUUGGGAUAGAGGAGCAGCGUGGCAGGUGGGUGCUUGCAAGCACAGUGGUUCUUUUGUCCUUUUGUGUUCCCCGGUGGUGUGGAUGAUGCUGGCCGCUCCUUUCAAGCUUGGACCUAACUUGCAGGUCCGGAGGCAAGUGGAGUGCUGUUUUGAAAGGAUAAAAGUAAAGCUGGGGUCGCUUAUGUUGUUGAGGGAUGGGUGCUACUGCUGGCAGCUGAAUGUUUAUCUUCUGCCUGUGUUUUGCCUUUCAU
This is a non-coding RNA of Anas platyrhynchos (mallard), 586 nucleotides long. NCBI's taxonomy places the organism in Eukaryota, Metazoa, Chordata, Aves, Anseriformes, Anatidae. The record is from RefSeq and is a predicted model, not a curated record.